Long non-coding RNA from Panthera uncia (snow leopard), 1187 nucleotides. RefSeq lists it as uncharacterized. The record is from RefSeq and is a predicted model, not a curated record. The transcript has 4 exons. Lineage: Eukaryota; Metazoa; Chordata; Mammalia; Carnivora; Felidae.
CAGGGUCAGACUCAGACUGUUAUCCACGACUUCUAUGAUUUUCUAUCUGUAGAACAGACUGAAACACAACAUGCCAAACUCUGCAUAUGGCUUUCCUACGGAAAUGAGAACAUGAGGUCUGAAGAUGAACAACAGAAAGCAACAGAAAAGUAUAUUCACUAGCUGCACAAAUGCACACAAGAAUCCACCGUUUUACUAUAGAGGAUGUUACGGAAGGGCUCACCCGUGUCAUGUGUGAUGAUCCAGGUAAGGAGAGACACAGAGUCUCCUCUGGUCUCUCCCUUCAGAGAAGGGGAAAAUUGCCGUGGUUGACUGCCACCUGGGGAGGCUUCAAAGAAGGGAUGGACCAGGCACUGAAGAACAACUGAAUAACUAUAGAUUACAAAGGAAAACAGCCCAUAUGUAGGAAUUUCCCUCCCCUAUUUUUAGUUUACUUUUUGCAAUUCCCCCUCCAUCUAAACCUUGAAAAACUGCAGGAAGUGCAGAAGCAUCUUUUGAAAGUACCAUUCUGCCCGUUGCCACGAAGGAAUGGAACCAAUGAUCCCCAGCAAGAGGCAUGAAAAUCAGAAUAAUCCCCAUUCUUUUCCAUUGAAGUUUUUGUAGCAGAUGAAGAGAAGACGAAGAAAACUUCAAGCACCCAUGUACAGAGGGACCCGUGGUCCAGCGUGCAGCGGCGGAGGUGAGGGGAUGGGAAGACACCCACAAGAGGGGCAGCACGUGUGGGGCAUCCGAGCACAGGGGCAGAGGGGGCAUCCAUGCAGGACCCAGAGUUCACGACCUCAUCUGUGAUCGAGAAAUCCUGGAAGCUGCGAAGACCCUGUCUUCACUGAACAUCAUUUGAAACAAAUUGAUAUUUUUGAAUCUUGGCAAUACUCCGGGGACAACAUUACCAGCAAUGAAAUUUCUUCCAAAAAUCCAGAGAAUGCAGUGAGAGACUAAUCUGGGCUCAGUUAAUUAUAUGUUUGUAAAGCACUCUGCGGGGUGUUUUUUUCCCUCACAUAUUUAUUUUUAACACAAACAUAUACACUCAGCUGACGGCAGUGCAACCAUGGUCAUAGCCUCUAAACUCCAUGAGAGUUUAUCACCUGCAUUUAUUUAUUGAGCAUUCAACAAGUAUUUACUGAGCGCCAGCCUGAGACACGCUUGACUCCUACCUUCAUGGAGCUUAAAUUCUAAUAAACGGCGUU